Molecule: ribosomal RNA, 232 nt
Filed under: uncultured bacterium
Lineage: Bacteria
Description: partial 16S ribosomal RNA
Rfam family: Bacterial small subunit ribosomal RNA
Source: RNAcentral
UGGGCAACCUGCCCCUCUCUCUGGGAUAACCCCGGGAAACCGGAGCUAAUACCGGAUACUCCGGCUGGAUCGCAUGGUCCGGCCGGGAAAGGUCCGCCGGAGAGGGAUGGGCCCGCGGCCUAUCAGCUUGUUGAUGGGGUCAUGGCUCACCAAGGCGACGACGGGUAGCUGGUCUGAGAGGAUGGCCAGCCACAUUGGGACUGAGACACGGCCCAGACCCCUACGGGAGGCA